Molecule: long non-coding RNA, 3358 nt
Organism: Hordeum vulgare subsp. vulgare (domesticated barley)
Lineage: Eukaryota; Viridiplantae; Streptophyta; Magnoliopsida; Poales; Poaceae
Exons: 3
Source: RefSeq, a predicted model, not a curated record
AUCACUUCUCGGUGGACUGAUCGCGUCCUCUUAUACCGCAUUACUUGUUUGAUGUGAAGUACCACGCUACAAGGGAAGUGAUGCCUCGGCCUGGACGAAGACUGGUCGCUCAUGGUCGACGAGGACACCAACGAGUGCUCCCUCGUGAGCUUGCCGGCGCCCACCGUAAUCACUCUCCCGCCGCUGCCCGAGGACGCGCCAGAGCCAUACCUGUGGUUCGGUUGCGCGCUCUCGGUGCAAACCACCCCACCUGACUGCACGGUGGUGCUCGACUUCGUCAGGGAGAGGUGCCGUAUCCAUUGCCGCCUGGCGACCCCGAGUGGUCCCGUCUCCCUGUGGAGCUCGUUGAGAAGAACGACGAGUUCGAAGGACCCAUAACCGCCGGCCACCAGGGGAAGGUGUACGUGAUGACCAUGCUAUCCUUGGUGGCCAUGGACGCGUCGUCCGGCCCGGCAGUCGAGAGGGCGAUCAUGAUGCUCCCGCCGACCCGCCCCCGUGCCCAGCGCACGCCGAGUACAAGUGCUACCUGGUGUCGUGUCCCGACGGCGAGCUCUUCCUGGUCCGCUGCUGCCUCUUUGGGUACCCGGAUGAGGUGCUGGACGCCAAGGUCUUCCAAUGGAACGAUGAAGACAAUGCCUGGGAGACGGUCGAAACCAUCGCUUCCUAGGCAGGUUUACUUUCGCGGUCCCGUCGGCCGCUGAAGCAUGAACCCAACCCAACGGCAUCCAUUUGCUGCGCAAAGUUUGCUAUGAGUUCGGUACCUAUACAGUUUCCCUCGAUGAUAUGACCAUCCGGCUUAGUAUUGUCGAGGGAUGUGAUGAUCGUACUGAUGAUGGCGAGGACCAAGUUUUCUGGGCUCUUCCCACUAGGUAAGUUCAAUUCAAUUCCACUUGCUCGGUUUGAACCAGUAUUAAUCACUCUGUAUGAUACGUAUGCAUGCUUGGAACAUUAUGAUACGCAUGCAUACUAGCGUGGUAGUAACUUGAAUGCAUCACAAAGAGUUGUUUUCCGCAUCUUUCCUACGCACAACCAAAAAAUCAGCCCGCUGGAGAAAAUAGUCCAAUGAAAGAAAAAAUAGACCCAGACCCACGAACACAUGCCCCUUCCUGAUCAAAGGACAACCUCGUUCCUCAAAUUUUUUCCAACUGAAUCCAGCUCCUUUUCUGCCUGUCCCACCCACGUCGUAGCGCUCUCUCCGUACACAUGCGCCGCUCGUCCUAGACGGUUGCCACCGCCUGUAUUGAUUCUCGACCUCCCGAAGGACGCAUCCAUCACGCCGGUCAAGGCCCUGCCACACGCCAUGGUUAGUGCCGCCAUCCACUCAUCUCCUCUGUACGACCCCUUCUCUCUCGGAUCCAGGCUGGCCGACGGUGUCGAUCCCCAACUGAAGUGGCCCCACCUUCCUUUCCUCGUGCGCCUCGGCGCCGUUUCCAGGUACGCAUCGUAGCGCAAGCGCAUGGGCUGACAGCGUCCACCGUCGAGCCUUGUCCAAGGAUGGCAGUCCAUCACACCGUGUGCCACUGCAUCGAGCCGGCAGCCACCAUCGCCGUCCAGUCCAUCUACCGGUGAUAGCGAGAUCUAUCCACCCAGUUCUGCAUCCAUCACGCACCCAACCACCAGGUAUAGGCCACUUCUAUUAUUAUAUUUCUCCUUUGAUUUAGUCGGAGAUGUUGCUGUUGUGCUUGAAGUGUGAGAGAGCAGAAAGGACUGAGAGAGUGCAGGGGUGGUAUGAUCACGACCUAAUGUCAUGGAAGUAGCGACAUAUGUAGAAAUAACCACAUUAUCAUGUGGGGAAGAAACUUAUGAAUUAACCUUGUGAAAUUACAGUGGAAUGGCUCCUAGCACCUCCUGAAGGAAUUAAAAGAUUUGAAGAAGAGAUGCGGCCAGUGAAGUUGACUACCAAAGUUCUUGGUAUGAUUCAGGCUUCUCGUUAUUUUAGUAUCUGGAUGAGCAUAUGAGUGCAUAAGAAAGAUUGACGUUGUACUUUGGCAACCCGUAAGGUUGUUUAUCAUGAAGCUACUUGAACUUUUCUUAUGCUCUAGGCCAACUGUUGUGCUGGUCCGACAUAGUGAAAGUAAUACUCAAUCUAUUCUUUUUUUGUCUUGCCUUAAAGAAUUGAUACCCUUCCAGAUCUUAUCAAUUAUUUUGAAAGCUUUGUAUACCAUGUGCUUCAAUUUUUGGUUUAAUCGUGUUAAAGCAAGAAAAACAUUACUCGUGGCUGAGUCCAUCCUCUGCAUUGAAGGGGUGCAAAUUUUACCAGUCAUAAAAUGAUGUUAAAAUAGAUCUUUACUUUGUGCUCCUAAAAAUACAGGAGCAUGUGGAUUUUCCAUAACAAUUUGAUAGAAGUUAACAUCUCUGAUGAUAUUUAGUACUGUCAGCCAUUGGUGUGUUUUCCCUAAUUAAUAAUUGUUUCAUGGUGCUAUUUAGGUUAUGCUCCAGCGAAAAAUGACUUCCUCUUCAAGAGAGUACACACAAUUCCUGUCCUAUAAUGUUUGUUUUUUCGAAAUUCUAGGGACGGAUUAAGGAGGGGUGUUCAGAUAUAUUCGAUCAUACUUUCUGCACAAUGUUUUCUUCUAAAAAAUAUUGGACAUUGUUUGGAUAAUUUUUUAAAACUUAGUUUCCUUUGUUUCUUUCACUUUGAGAGGCUACAAAGUUUCAUUUUCGAUAAGUCAUAUCUCCUCAUCUGUCAAUUACACUCCCUACUUCCCAUAAGUUAAAUUGUUAAAAUUGAAGUGCUCAAAAUAGAAAGUGAAUAUUGAAUACAGAUAUACUGAUGGAACACUCAAGAGGGAAGUCUGCACUUGUUUUCUGUUCUACAAGAAAAGGUGCACAAGAAGCAGCAGAGUGCCUCUCACAAACUGCAGGGUCUCUUGGCUAUUAAAAUCCAUUCAUGAAAUCUAUGCAGCAGUAUGAACAUCUACGAGAGGCUUCCUUAACCUGUAGUGACAAGCAGCUGCAGUCCUGUAUCGUACAUGGAGGUCAUGUUGAAUCUUGUUCUCUAGGACAUGACCUUCCUAAUUUUGCUACCGAUUACAGUGUUUUUGUCUUCUUAUCUGGACACUCAUGUUAGGUGUUGCCUAAAUUUACACUGACAUAGUCGUAUUUCCAAAUUUCAGUUGGUUUCCUAAUGGUGGUCUUUGCUUAAAGGAUCGGAGUCUUUUUGAGGGGCUUUUCCUGAAGGGUGAUCUUCAAAUUCUAUGCACGACAAAUACUUUGGCACGGCAUCAACUUACCUUCACAUACAGUAGUGAUAAAGUCGACACAAUUUUUCAACAAAGAGAAGGGGUCUUAUGUAGAAUAUGAGAGAUCCAUGGUUCUUCACGUGUGCUAUUAAGUCUCGCUUGCUCCUGCAAAAUAA